CCGAGUUGUGUCUCUUUCUAGAGCCAUCUCCACCCUGUGCGAACUAAAUUUGUUGCUUUGGCGGGCCGCAGCCUAGCUGCCACCGGUUCAUCUGGUGAGCGCCCGCCGGAGGCCUUUUAAAAUCUAUUUUAUGUGACGUCUGAGCAAGAAAAUAAAUGCGAA
RNAcentral lists this unclassified non-coding RNA (162 nucleotides) under uncultured fungus. Its description in RNAcentral is "sequence contains ITS1, 5.8S rRNA gene". Lineage: Eukaryota; Fungi. The record is from RNAcentral.